AAGUCGUAACAAGGUCUCCGUAGGUGAACCUGCGGAGGGAUCAUUACCGAGCGAGGGCCUCCGGCCCGACCUCCAACCCUUUGUCAACCAAUACCUCGUUGCCUCGGGGGUGACCCGGACCUCGCGUCCGGGGCCCCCGGUGGACCACUGUCAAACCCUUGCAUCUCUGCGUCGGAGUCUCGAGCAAAUCGAUUAAAA
This 198-nucleotide unclassified non-coding RNA is filed under the name plant metagenome. Its description in RNAcentral is "partial contains small subunit ribosomal RNA and internal transcribed spacer 1". The stretch from base 1 to 46 matches the Rfam family "Eukaryotic small subunit ribosomal RNA", at positions 1786 to 1831 of the family's 1831-position model. The record is from RNAcentral.